Marmota marmota marmota (Alpine marmot) is the source of this 123-nucleotide small nucleolar RNA. Lineage: Eukaryota; Metazoa; Chordata; Mammalia; Rodentia; Sciuridae. The record is from Ensembl.
ACUGAGACUAGAGUCACCUCCAGACAUGGCUGUUGUGUGCUCAAGUCCUCGGAGAGAAUCUGCUGCUCUUGACUCACUGGUGAGGAUAAUCAGUUUCCUUCAGUGCCCAGAGCAGACACAGCC